Molecule: non-coding RNA, 187 nt
Organism: Molossus molossus (Pallas's mastiff bat)
Lineage: Eukaryota; Metazoa; Chordata; Mammalia; Chiroptera; Molossidae
Product: small Cajal body-specific RNA 16
Exons: 1
Source: RefSeq, a predicted model, not a curated record
CAGCUUUUGAGAACACCGAGUGGUCUCGCUGGACCUGCCCCGUUGCGGACGCAGCCUCUUACCAGGCAGCCUACCCUGACCUAAAGUAAAUGCAAAGGGGAAUUUCGUCCUGGGUUUUGGAUUUGCAGUAAUAGGUGUGAACAUUCUAGCAGCGGUUUGAUGAUCAUGUAUGAUACUGCAAACAAGA